UUCCCUGUGGCUCAGUUGGUAGAGCAUGGUGUUUGCAACGCCAGCAUGGUGUGUGCAAUGCCACGGUUGUGGUUUCGAUUCCCACGGGGGACA
Non-coding RNA from Salmo salar (Atlantic salmon), 93 nucleotides. Lineage: Eukaryota; Metazoa; Chordata; Actinopteri; Salmoniformes; Salmonidae. The record is from Rfam.